Molecule: ribosomal RNA, 253 nt
Filed under: uncultured Flavobacterium sp.
Lineage: Bacteria; Pseudomonadati; Bacteroidota; Flavobacteriia; Flavobacteriales; Flavobacteriaceae
Description: partial 16S ribosomal RNA
Rfam family: Bacterial small subunit ribosomal RNA
Source: RNAcentral
UACGGAGGAUCCAAGCGUUAUCCGGAAUCAUUGGGUUUAAAGGGUCCGUAGGCGGCUUUAUAAGUCAGUGGUGAAAUCUCACGGCUCAACCGUGAAAUGGCCAUUGAUACUGUAGGGCUUGAAUUAUUAGGAAGUAACUAGAAUAUGUAGUGUAGCGGUGAAAUGCUUAGAUAUUACAUGGAAUACCAAUUGCGAAGGCAGGUUACUACUGGUGGAUUGACGCUGAUGGACGAAAGCGUGGGUAGCGAACAGG